AAAAUCCAGUGACCUGAAACUUUUCCGGCACUAUUACAUGGUCAUGCUGAACCGAUAUCGACAUUGAAGAAGGUGAAACAUCAAAAACGGUGUUUUCACCCUUGUAGAAAGGUAUAAGCUUGUAAACCCCACAAGGAAUGGAUUUCAACGAGAAGAUUCCAUUAGCAUCUGUCACAUUGUGGCAAAGUGCUUCUCCCAAUCCUAGAUCACCAGGUGAAUUUUUGGAGCCCUUAGGGCAAUCAACCUUUGUGACAUCAUCUGAGUAUAAAUAGAUAUGAACUCCCAGUAUGGGAUUUCCCUGAGCAACCACAGAUCCACGAAUAUCAUAACCAGAUACAAAGAAGAAGUCCUCCAAUAUUCUAUUUUCGAAACCCAAAUCAAUCUCGGCCGAUCCUCUAACUUGAACAUUCAAGUCAUGACGUGAUGCACGUAAUUUGUACUUCCCGGGUAUAGCGUUUGAGAAGGAGUAUGUUCCUCUGGGUGUUGAUAAUGCAGAGGACACAACACCACCUGUGGGAGACAAUAACUCAACUUUCACAUUUGAUGGACCUCCAUCUUUCAGAGCACAGCUUUCCCCACCAUCAUUUCCCACAAUUCGUCCAGAUACAGUGAACCCGGUGAAGCGAAAAUUUAUAUCUUCAUUGCCAUUGCAGCCAGUAUGAUCAAUUGAAACAGGUACUUGUUCAGGAUCCCAUGACCACCCCUCUGGUCCAUUGACUUUGAUCAAGAAAGAACCCUUAUCAUACACUGGAAUGAAGUAAUAACCAUUAGGGGCACAGUGUGUUCUUUCCUUCACCAAGCCAUCCAAUGUGCGAAGCUCAACAAUGAUAUUAGAAUAAUCCAAUUUCGGAUCGCUUGACUUCCUUGACUUGAUCAGUUCCGAACUUGCCUCAACAAACCCCCCACAUCCUUGAAUUGAAUCAGCAGCGGCAGUGGCGGAAACGUAGAGAAUAAUUGAUAUGAUUGUGCAUACAUAGAAGUAGCUGGAUGCCAUUGCCGGCAAGAGAGAGUAUUGACGUCCCUUAGUGAUUAGCACAAACAGAUCUCGCGCUGCUCAGUUGAGCUUCAGGGGUUGGUUCUCUCUGCUGUGAUGCGCAAGGGUUUUGACUAUUGUACAU
Molecule: unclassified non-coding RNA, 1118 nt
Filed under: Hevea brasiliensis (rubber tree)
Lineage: Eukaryota; Viridiplantae; Streptophyta; Magnoliopsida; Malpighiales; Euphorbiaceae
Source: RNAcentral